Molecule: ribozyme, 61 nt
Filed under: human gut metagenome
Description: Pistol ribozyme
Rfam family: Pistol ribozyme
Source: RNAcentral
GCCGUCUGGGCGGCUAUAAAGAGUCCUCAAGCCCAGAGCGUCCGCCGGGAAACCGGCGGGG